UUUUUCAGCAUUUCGAUCUCUCCCCAAAAUUGAGCUUCUCCCCCCAAAAUUUUCAGCCAAAAUACGUCGAUCUCUUCCUUACCGCCACUUUUACUCUGUUCUUCACUACUCAAUACACAUCUUUCUCCUCUCCCCUAGAACCCUAACCAACCGACAGAAACCUCUACCCCAAUCGAAAACCCUAAUUACUAACCGGCGGCUACAAACCCUAAUCGGAGUGUAAGAGGAGGAUGUUGUUCUACCUUUUCAGUUGAGCUUGAAUCGCCGGUCCACCUCCUCGGCGCCGCCGCACCACCAGUGGUUGAACACUCUGGUAUCGGGCUCUAGAGUUACUUCAGUCACCAAUAUAUGGCUCUGCAGCUGAUUUAUGGGCAAUGGGUGCCAUCAUGGCUAAACUAUUUACUCUCUGUCCCCUUUUCCCAGGUUCAUGCUAUAGUAUGA
This 441-nucleotide long non-coding RNA is filed under the name Helianthus annuus (common sunflower). RNAcentral describes it as "hypothetical non coding rna". Lineage: Eukaryota; Viridiplantae; Streptophyta; Magnoliopsida; Asterales; Asteraceae. The record is from RNAcentral.